RNAcentral lists this long non-coding RNA (1352 nucleotides) under Oncorhynchus kisutch (coho salmon). Its description in RNAcentral is "lncRNA (ENSOKIG00005050801.1)". Lineage: Eukaryota; Metazoa; Chordata; Actinopteri; Salmoniformes; Salmonidae. The record is from RNAcentral.
CAUGGUUAGAUAAUGUACAGUGAUAGGGAGGCCUCACACUCCAGUACAGUAGGUGGCGGUGUAUGCACUUUUCAGUUGGUUGCAAUCCUCCAAUACAAAUGUAAAGCAGAAGAAGGGCCCAAGCAAUCAAUGACAGAAGUCUGUUCAAGAACACCUGCUGUAAGGCAAAGAGGACCUGUACCCUGCUGACUAGACUGGAAGAUGGCGGGGGUCAGUGAUUAAUAUACUCCCUCAGGCAAACGGAUGUGGGGGCCAAAGUCAGAGACACUGACCCAAAUCGGGCACUCCCCCUCGUCCUGAUGAACGAACAGCAGAUGGAGUAUGAAGGACUACAUCUUCACCUUGGCGAACAGAUCCCUCUGUCUAGACCUCCAGUUCUGUUACCGUCUGAGGAUGAGGGCCUUCAACUGUUGAAUGACAUGCUGAGCGAGAACAGAUUUGCGGGGAAGAGGUCAGUUUGGACCAAGCCUAUGCAUGGUCCAUCUUCUCAGGUAUGCUAUAAGCAUUAUCACCUGUAGCGCAGCUGAUGCAGCAUAGUGGCUAUAAAUAAAUAGGCUGAUGCAUUGGGUUGCCUAUCUGCGUUUACCAUGGGCCUAAUCAUUAGCUAGAUCUGAAAUGUGAUCUUUUAACUAGUGAACAUUAAUCAAUACAUGCUUUGUCCCCCCCAAAAAUGCAGAAACACAGUGAAUAUAAUGUAGGCCUACCUGUUAGGAUAACUUGAGGUAAAACACCCCCUCCUGUUCUUCUCACAGAAACCACUUCAUGUCACCAUGCUCCUCGGAGCCAAAUGCUGAUGACGGGUAGCACUUUGCUGGGCAGAUGGCAUUGAAACCCCCUUGCUAGGCGAAAGGAGUUCCAAUGAUGGGCCUUAAGGUUAUUAUAGCUGGUAGUGGAUGGUUGUCAAACUGAAAAACGGUCAUUCAGACCAGCCUUCCUGAUUUGAACUUUUGUAAACUACAUUAUGGAUUUUGGAAAAUGACCUAUGUUUAUGAAAAUACAGUCAUUGUUUUUAAAUGCCAACCACAGCACCUUACAUGCAUUAAAUGGAUGCUUCAGAUUCUAUAUCAAUUGGUUAAUUGCAGAUCCUGUUUAUUUUUUUGAACCCAUUGUUUAACGCCACUGUCCUCUUGUGCUUUUGUUUGCCUGCCUGGUCAUGGUCAAUGUGCAUUUACCCUCAACACAUGAUUGUAUCUUGUGCGCAAUGAUCGGGUCGGUAGUGGCAGUGUUUUGAGAUAAUGUGACUGAUCUGUGUGGUAUUACAACAUACAUAUCCACAUGUAUAGGCAGGUGUACAUCGUUGGGUAUUACUAAUUUACACUGUGUAUAAAAUAUUAUGAACAUCUGCUCUUUCC